UGUCAACAGGGCGCGACGGUAACAGAGUAGCCUUUGCCUUAAUGCUCUGAGCCCACCGCCCAGCUUCCGCGGCCAUCGGCCUGGUCCCCUAGUCUUCGAUUGGGCUUCGGUACGCGCUCUGGACUCAGCUCCAAAGAGGGAAAGCUGGCUCUGCGCUGGUGUGGGAAGAGCAGGCAUCUGGUCUCCUCCCCAGGAGGGGCAGGGCCUAGAACGUGCACAUGAUGGUAGGACCUCAAGCAGCCACCCUGGACCAUGAAGCAAUCUUGAAGAUAGAAGCCAACACUGAGAUGGUGCAGUGAGGUAGUGAAGCCUGGUCCUUAUUCACUGCACAGUGACUGCAUCCAAACUUCAUGUAUGUGAGACAGACGAAAGCCACUAUCUUGUUUAAGACACUUAUUUAGAUUGUCUUCAUAUGCAACAGAAACUGACCUAUCUGAUAAAAUAUAAUUUUUAUUAAUAAAAUUUUGUAUUUUAAAAUAAAUUCCUACUUAACCCUUCU
This is a long non-coding RNA of Phyllostomus discolor (pale spear-nosed bat), 499 nucleotides long. RefSeq lists it as uncharacterized. Lineage: Eukaryota; Metazoa; Chordata; Mammalia; Chiroptera; Phyllostomidae. The record is from RefSeq and is a predicted model, not a curated record. The transcript is spliced from 2 exons.